Molecule: ribosomal RNA, 421 nt
Filed under: uncultured bacterium
Lineage: Bacteria
Description: bacterial SSU rRNA
Rfam family: Bacterial small subunit ribosomal RNA
Source: RNAcentral
AAUUUUGGACAAUGGGCGCAAGCCUGAUCCAGCCAUGCCGCGUGAGUGAAGAAGGCCUUCGGGUUGUAAAGCUCUUUCGGCGGGGACGAAAUGGUUCGUGCUAAUACCACGGACUGAUGACGGUACCCGUAGAAGAAGCACCGGCUAACUCUGUGCCAGCAGCCGCGGUAAUACAGAGGGUGCGAGCGUUAAUCGGAAUUACUGGGCGUAAAGCGCGCGUAGGUGGCUAUGCAAGUCGGAUGUGAAAUCCCCGGGCUCAACCUGGGAACUGCAUUCGAGACUGCAUUGCUUGAGUAUGGGAGAGGGAAGUGGAAUUUCCGGUGUAGCGGUGAAAUGCGUAGAUAUCGGAAGGAACAUCAGUGGCGAAAGCGACUUCCUGGACCAAUACUGACACUCAAGUGCGAAAGCGUGGGGAGCAAAC